Molecule: ribosomal RNA, 586 nt
Filed under: uncultured bacterium
Lineage: Bacteria
Description: partial 16S ribosomal RNA
Rfam family: Bacterial small subunit ribosomal RNA
Source: RNAcentral
UGGGGAAUUUUGGACAAUGGGCGCAAGCCUGAUCCAGCCAUGCCGCGUGCGGGAAGAAGGCCUUCGGGUUGUAAACCGCUUUUGUCAGGGAAGAAAUCUUCUGAGUUAAUACCUCGGGAGGAUGACGGUACCUGAAGAAUAAGCACCGGCUAACUACGUGCCAGCAGCCGCGGUAAUACGUAGGGUGCAAGCGUUAAUCGGAAUUACUGGGCGUAAAGCGUGCGCAGGCGGUUUUGUAAGACAGAGGUGAAAUCCCCGGGCUCAACCUGGGAACUGCCUUUGUGACUGCAAGGCUUGAGUGCGGCAGAGGGGGAUGGAAUUCCGCGUGUAGCAGUGAAAUGCGUAGAUAUGCGGAGGAACACCGAUGGCGAAGGCAAUCCCCUGGGCCUGCACUGACGCUCAUGCACGAAAGCGUGGGGAGCAAACAGGGUUAGAUACCCUGGUAGUCCACGCCCUAAACGAUGUCAACUGGUUGUUGGGAAGGUUCCUUCUCAGUAACGUAGCUAACGCGUGAAGUUGGACCGCCUGGGGAGUACGGCCGCAAGGUUGAAACUCAAAUGAAUUGACGGGGUCAUAGCUGUUUCCU